UACGAAGGGUGCAAACGUUGCUCGGAAUCAUUGGGGGUAAAGCGCACGUAGGCGGCCUCAAAAGUCGGAUGUGAAAUCCCGUGGCUCAACCAUGGACGUGCAUUCGAAACUGCGAGGCUUGAGUAUGGAAGAGGGUCGCGGAAUUCCCGGUGUAGAGGUGAAAUUCGUAGAUAUCGGGAGGAACACCAGUGGCGAAGGCGGCGACCUGGGCCAAUACUGACGCUGAGGUGCGAAAGCGUGGGGAGCAAACAGG
This 253-nucleotide ribosomal RNA is filed under the name uncultured bacterium. RNAcentral's name for it is "partial 16S ribosomal RNA". It matches the Rfam family "Bacterial small subunit ribosomal RNA", at positions 524 to 776 of the family's 1533-position model. The record is from RNAcentral.